This 1173-nucleotide ribosomal RNA is filed under the name Triticum aestivum (bread wheat). RNAcentral's name for it is "partial small subunit ribosomal RNA". Lineage: Eukaryota; Viridiplantae; Streptophyta; Magnoliopsida; Poales; Poaceae. The record is from RNAcentral.
AUGCCGCCAUAUGCCAAGCGAAAAAGAAAGCGAGUUCUAGCCAACGAUUGCAGCGGAGGGGGGCCGAGCAUGCGUAGAUCUCGCCGUACACUAGUUCUUGUGCCCGAAUACCUUGCUGUUGCAGGUCAGGUCGUCCCAGCUCAACCCCCGAGUCUCCUAGCAGAGUCUGCCGUAUUACGUGGUAGGGUGGUGAAAUGUACUUGGAGCUGUCAUCAAAUCCUCCAUCUAGGAUUAAGAUCCUACGGAUUGGUGGAUAGAACUGGCAUGGCGAGUUUGUUAACAGCUGCAUGGACUGGUGAGGCCGAUAGGAGGUUUUAUGCUUGGCUGCUUAGUAGAUUUAGUUGGGAAGACAUGAGAUUCACGUUCCCUGACGGGGAAUAUAGAUAUUUCAGCCCCCGAUCCAUCGUUAGGACUUUGGGUCUGAAAAACAGUGGGCGCCAAGAGAUGUUUGCCUGUGUCCUUUGUAACGGUGGAACUGGUGAGUAUGAUCUCGCCGAGUGGGCAUUUGAAAUCAUCAGAGCAGCUGUAAAGAAAUUGCAAAAAGAUUUGGAGGCUGGGGUGAGAACACUAAUAGUAGGCGGCAGCCAUUUGGCACUCAUUCCGUGGUUCUUCGAUUGGAUUGAUUUUGGAGCAAAUAAUGUCGAGCCGCACACUGUCCCCCGCAUCAGUGUUUACACGGGGCAGAUAUGCAGGAGGCUAAUCUACCUUAUAAGGGAGUAUCCAAAUAUAUUCACUACAAAGCCUUAUGAUGCGUUCAACCCGCUCGAUGAUGUUUGGCACGGUGUAGUCGGAGAGUAUGGUGGAUUCCUACAACAACCAGCUCUGGAACUCAUUGCUGCCAGCCAACAGGAUGCAAUGGUGUCCGUCCAAGAGCAAAGGGGACAGGAGCCAGAUUAUGACUCCGGAAAAAUUACGGCCAUCCAGGAGCAUAGCAUGUUGUCUGAGCAAAGGCAAGGGGGGCAGGGGCCAGCUUGCGACUACGGAAGAAAUGGUAAUGAUAAGAAACUAUCAGCUGCAAAAGGAAAGUGGGCAGCGGAUGAUAGCUCAGACUCAUCGAGCAGCGACAGUGACGACGAACCGGUCGAUCCAAGUGUUCGUCUGGCUAGGAGAUUAGAAGAAGCUGGUAGAAGAGGUUUGCAUUGCAUCGUCUACCAAAACGUCCUCCCCACAUGA